GUGCCAGCCGCCGCGGUAAUACGGAGGAGGCAAGCGUUAUCCGGAAUUAUUGGGCGUAAAGCGUCCGCAGGUGGCUGGAUAGCAAGUCUGUCGUCAAAGACCGGGGCUUAACCCUGGGAAGGCGGUGGAAACUGCACAGCUAGAGAGAGGUAGGGGUAGAGGGAAUUCCCGGUGUAGCGGUGAAAUGCGUAGAGAUCGGGAAGAACAUCGGUGGCGAAAGCGCUCUACUGGACCUAAUCUGACACUCAGGGACGAAAGCUAGGGGAGCGAAUGGGAUUAGAAACCCCUGUAGUCC
Molecule: ribosomal RNA, 295 nt
Filed under: uncultured bacterium
Lineage: Bacteria
Description: partial 16S ribosomal RNA
Rfam family: Bacterial small subunit ribosomal RNA
Source: RNAcentral